UAGUAAAAUUAUUACAUAACUUUGUCGAAGUUAAUUUAUAGGUUCAACUCCUAU
Molecule: transfer RNA, 54 nt
Filed under: Oryctolagus cuniculus (rabbit)
Lineage: Eukaryota; Metazoa; Chordata; Mammalia; Lagomorpha; Leporidae
Rfam family: tRNA
About the family: Transfer RNA (tRNA) molecules are approximately 80 nucleotides in length. Their secondary structure includes four short double-helical elements and three loops (D, anti-codon, and T loops).
Source: Rfam by way of RNAcentral